UUGCCUCCUUUUGACAUGAUAUGGUGAGAU
This 30-nucleotide non-coding RNA is filed under the name Mus musculus (house mouse). The record is from RNAcentral. Lineage: Eukaryota; Metazoa; Chordata; Mammalia; Rodentia; Muridae.